This 442-nucleotide ribosomal RNA is filed under the name uncultured bacterium. RNAcentral describes it as "bacterial SSU rRNA". It matches the Rfam family "Bacterial small subunit ribosomal RNA", at positions 958 to 1398 of the family's 1533-position model. The record is from RNAcentral.
AACGCGAAGAACCUUACCUGGGCUCGAAAUGCUAUGGACAGUCCGUGAAAGCGGAUCUUCCCCUUAAAAGGACCGUAGUAUAGGUGCUGCAUGGCUGUCGUCAGCUCGUGUCGUGAGAUGUUGGGUUAAGUCCCGCAACGAGCGCAACCCUUGUCCUGUGUUGCCAUCAUUCAGUUGGGAACUCGCAGGAGACCGCCAGCGAUAAGCUGGAGGAAGGUGGGGAUGACGUCAAGUCCUCAUGGCCUUUAUGUCCAGGGCUACACACGUGCUACAAUGGACGGUACAAUACGUCGCUAACCCGCGAGGGGGAGCCAAUCGCUAAAAACCGUUCUCAGUUCGGAUUGUUCUCUGCAACUCGAGAGCAUGAAGCUGGAAUCGCUAGUAAUCGCGGAUCAGCACGCCGCGGUGAAUACGUUCCCGGGCCUUGUACACACCGGUACUA